GUCAAAAAACCUGCACCAAAAAACAAAAAAAAGCCGUUCACUUGUGCGCACCGCUCAAAACUGGGGCCUGGACAGUCGGAGCUACCUCCAGCUGCCAGCCAGGCUCUGAGUGGCAGGAUUGCCACUGCUGCGGCCUCAGAAGUCUCCCAGGACCCCAGGUAAGGCUGCUAGGGCUGACCCAGUGCUACCUCCAGCCUCCCCUACCCCAUCUGGGGUAAUCUGCCAUACACCAGAGGGCACAUGGCACUGACAUUCCCCAGGGACAACAAGUAGCGGCACAUGUGCCAGUGCUAGUUGUUCCUGGGGAACCAAAAGUCCAUGCUUGUGUGAAUGCAGCCACAAUGAUGACAGGAGGAAAUGGCACCAGUACCUAAAUAUGAUUUCUUCAACCUCUACCUUGCUAGAAAAUGUUGCCCCUUCCUCCUGACUGAAGACCUAGCCACAAUGAUCCAGGCAUUUGUCACCACUAGGCUGAAUUACUGUUAUUCACUGUAUUUGCAGCUGAAUGUGAAGACAAUGCACUGGCCCCAGCUAGUACUGGAAUUAGCUGUAUGCCUUCUCCAUGGCAUAAACUGCCAUGAACACAGUGGGCCUGUGCUCAAGUCUGUCCCCUAGAUCCUAGUCAUCUUUUAAUUUCAGUAUAAUGCCUUGGUUCUAUGCUUCAAAUCCAUUAGUCAGUCAGGCCCCUGCUACAUCAAAGAUCACAUUUUAAUCUAUGAACCACCAAACCAGAUGUAUUCCUCUGGGACAAUGUAGAUCAGAAAGACUAGGGCUUCCUUGCUAUUGAUUUUAUAUGGAAGGCACCAUGAAGAUGGGUAACAGUAUAAAAACCUAAGGACAGAUAUAGAUAGAAUUUAGAGAUUAUUCUUCAUUCCAGAGUAAAACACUCAACAAUCCAAUAUAUCAUAUGUAGAUGGCAGGGAAAAAUCAGUGUCAAAUAUUGAGGGGGCCUACCCUGUAAUAGUCACUGAUGCUGAUUGAGAUUUUGCUUUCUUUGUCCCUUUCCUAGAUGAAUUCCUUUCUAAGGUCUUGUUAGCCUCAGUUCUUAAUCCAGAACUGGAACCAGCCUGUGGCCUGUAGAAGGAUGUAACUCACCUGGCCAACACCAGGGCUGUCCAACUGACAGCCCACUGGCUGAGCAGUUAAUGCAAAGCCUCUGGGCUCUGACCCAGCCACUGCUCUGGCUACCACUCCCUCACCUGGCUUCUCAGGCAUGGCCCUGCCCUAAGGGGUGGAUUGACAUGGUGCAGUGCAGCCUGCAGUGCUGGGGGAGCUGAUGGCAUAGUGCCACAAGGAAGCCUGAAAGGAGCUGAAAGUGAGGUAGAGCCCUGGGCCAUGUGUGUAGUGCAGCAGGGUGAAGGGAGAGUUGCCUGCCUGUGCACACAGUGCAGCAGGGAUUGAGCACCCACUCACCUGCCUGUGUGCAGGGUGUGCAACCUCAUGGGGGAGCUUGGUAUCUUUUAGCACUGCUCCCACAGUGUGCAGCUCUGUAGGGUGUGCUGUAGGGUAUGUGGUUCCCAGCCUCUUUGAAGUGGGACAGCUCUGGCCUACACAAUCCCAGAUCUAAAAGUGCUAGUUAGUAGAAAAGCAGAUGAGUUCAUAUAAUGUUGCAUGUGACUGUCCCCAUCCUCCACAAGGAGACAUGCGUUGGUGGCUUGAUCUUGUGCUUGUUGGAUGCCAUAACAAAACUCCACUCUUACCCCCUUAACUUCAGUGCUUCAGGAUCAGGUGUUACCAGACUUUGUGUGACAAGAUCUCCUGUCUCAUACCCGCAACCCAUGAGACCCCAUCCCUUCUCCAGACAUACUGCCUCAUUCCACAGCAUUUGACCUCGAAGUAGGAAGCCCUCACUUUUUUAUGAUCUCUUAGUUCUCAAAACCCUAUAACUGAGCCACAUGAGUUCUGCCCAAUAUACUUGGGCGGUGGAAUCUAGCCCUACUCUGUGUACAAGUGUGACCACUCGAGAAUGCCAGUAUAAUGCACAAGGGUACACUUUCCUUAGGGAAGGUCUGGGAGUGUUUUUCUUUCUAAAUCAGUAUUUCAAAGAAUGUUACAGAAUAGUAAGUGCCAAAGCACAGCAGUGAAAAGGUUAAACAUGAGGAAAUAAUAUACACUUUAACAGGGUUGCAGAAGAGAACGCUUCUUUUUUUCCCCUCUAAAGUGUUUUAUUAAGUGGCCAGUGAGGUUAUUUGAAACGUAUGACAAAAUCCAAUACACGCUGUUCAGCAAUAAUAUGAACUUCCUGAACUGCUGAAAGAGACUAAAUUCAUGUAAGUUUUCACCUUCAGUUUUAAUGCCAUGAAGCUGCUUGUAUGUACCAUGUGACAAAUGGGGCUAUUCCUAAAGCAUUUGCACUUAUUGUUGCAUUUAUAAAACUCAGGCAAGUUAAAGUUGAUAGCUUUAUGCACUUAGAAAUGAAAUAUGGACCUCAACUACUUUUUUUUCCAAGCUCACAGUUUGCCAUAUGAGUAUAAGAAAUAAAUACAACUGUUCAGCUAUUUAGGAAACACCUCUGGCCCUAGCCCCAACAACAAUUCAAUUCAAACUGGAAAAGUUACCAGCAUUCUUUAAUAAAAAUAAUUUCCAAAACAAUCAAGGGCUCCACAACAGCCCUUUCAUUUCCAAGAGAAGAAUAUAAUUUUCUCUAAUUAUUAUACUUCCAAAAAUCAAAGGUUCAGUUUUUCCUCUGCAGUGCAAACCUAACAGACCUGGCCCCUUAAGGAUCUUCACUGCAUGGGGACAUUCCUGGGUGACCCUGGAGCUAUUCCAACUUUCUUUCUUCUGGCUGAGAUGAGUGAUGUAGCCACAGGAAAAAGGGCAUAGACAAGCUAUUUCCAUGCCCAGUAAUCUGUAAGUGCAAGAACAGCUCCUGAGAGCAGUUGGCAACUAAAAUAAGGGGAGGAAGAAGUUUCCCAAAAUCUGGGAGCGCCCACAAGAUAUGGGUGAGGAAUGCAUUGGUAGCUGUUUAAGUAUGCACAAAUCAAAUGCUUGUGAAAGAUACCCUAUUAGCAGUGCUGGAGACUAAAGUCCUCAGUUUAUCCAUAACAGAGCUAUGUCACCGGCAGAAGCAUAUCAGGUUCUGCUCUGUGAUCUCAGCAAUCUACCUCAAACCUGGCCAUAGGUCCAUGUUCAAAUUAACUCAGUCACAGAUCUCUCCAGUGUGACAACCAGCAACGAUGUUCAUCUGUGCUGAUUACAGCAGUGAAUUCUGUGAUGAUUUGUCCAAUGGGAACUGCAUUAAUAACCACCAGCCAGCCUCACACUAAGCUGUGUGAUCAGCCUUUUCCAUAUUUCUUCAGCAUUCAUUAUUCUGCUUCUUCCAGAAGAGAAAAAAUGGAAUCAAGAAAGCAGAGUUUUAACAUUCCAUGCUUUUGGAACUAUUGACUGUACCUUAGCUACUUGUCACUUUUUUUUUUUAUCACACCCUUAGUUGGCUCACAUAGCCGGUCUCACAUCCGUCCUAUUUUUCUGCUGGCGCCACACACAUGUUGCUGUCACCUCCACAGAGCUGAAAAAUAUUUUCCUGCAGUUCUUGAAGAAACAAUGAAAAUCCAUCUAGUUUGCCAUAAAUGCUAUUGACAGGAUUUAAAAAAUAACCAUAUAGUAAUUAUAAAAGUCAGAGCAGUGGCUAAAAUUUUGCUAAUUCUCAUACAAAGUGCAAACACCCUGAAAGAAGAGGAGUCCUUCUUCAGGUCUGAAAUAGUCAUUGCAUUAAAGUAGGUCAAUGUGACAGUGCAGCUUUGCUGCCUGCCACUUUAAGGGCAGGAGCAGGCAGCCACCAGGUGCCUGAUGAGGGUGGCCAUUUUCAAACAUAGGCUCGAGAGGCAGCAGUCUGUGUUCAGUAGCCAAGAAGCCAAUGUUGGGCUGAGUUGCUCCUGGAAUACCCUGGAGGCUAGGUUCCCACUGAACCUGGAUAUCAGGACCUGGCCUGGCCAAAAAAGAACUUACAAGUGCAAAUAAAUUAUUUAUAUGGAAAACUUGUAUCUAGCUUGGCAACCUGGGAGUGAUGUAUUACUUCAAUGAUCAUUACAGCAUCAUAUGGAGAAGAUAUUUCAUCAGCAGAGAGCUUAUUUUAGAAGUGAUCAUUCUAAGAUUUGUGGCUCCAUAGCUACCUGCUUCAGUUUCUUAAUGGGUAUGUCUACAUAUGCAAUUAAUGCAACUAAAUAAACUGCAAUUUGAGCUAGAGUAAACUAAUCCUGACAUCAUUGUCUACAUGUGUGUUUAAGCACAGUAAUUUACCCUGCCAUCAGAGUACCUGUGUCUGAUGGGACUAUCUGAUUGAGCUAUAAAUUAGUCUGAACUUCAACCUAAUUGCCAUGUACAUGUAGACAGUGCGCUUUAUUGCUCAGUUGACUUUGCUGUGCAGUAAAGUGUCACAUGUAGAUAUGCCCAAUGGGGAGAAUAAUGUUAAAAAAAAAACAAAAAAAAACCCAUGGUGAAAGAAUAAUGAAGAAUAAAAUGUGCAUGUCCAGUCAUUGCUUUUGUUAGUUUAAGUAGAAAGCAUCAUAUUUUAUAAGCAUAAACGUUUUGCAAAACUAUUUUACUUGAAGCCUUUUGGCUGCUAAGUCUUUUUGUGUUCAAAAAAUUGUAUAUUUUUAUAGUUAAAUAUUACUAAAUCUUGAAAUAAAACUCUUCAAAUGUGA
Alligator mississippiensis (American alligator) is the source of this 4643-nucleotide long non-coding RNA. RefSeq lists it as uncharacterized. Lineage: Eukaryota; Metazoa; Chordata; Crocodylia; Alligatoridae. The transcript has 2 exons. The record is from RefSeq and is a predicted model, not a curated record.